GCGGGGGAAUGCUCGGUCGCGCUUGAGCGUGAGUUCAGGUGAGGAAAGUCCGGGCACCGCAGGGCAGGAUGCCAGCUAACGGCUGGUCGGUGAGUCAAGCGCCUGCAUGUGCGCCGAUUUCAGCAUGCGGGUGGCGGCGAAGCCGAAGGAUAGUGCCACAGAAACCAGACCGCCAUGUCCACGGGUGCACCGGCGCGCACGGGCAUGGUCAGGGUGAAACGGUGCGGUAAGAGCGCACCAGGCUGCCUGGAGACAGGCGGCGCUGGUAAACCCCAUCUGGUGCAAGACCCGACAGUGCGCGAGGGUGGCCCGCCCGUUGACCGCCAGGAUGGUUGCUUGAGGCAGCUGGCAACAGCUGUCCCAGAGAGAUGACCGUGCAGCCGCCCCCCGGGGCGGUGGACAGAACCCGGCUUACAGUUCCCCCGCUCCG
This 430-nucleotide RNase P RNA is filed under the name Deinococcus deserti. RNAcentral's name for it is "Bacterial RNase P class A". It matches the Rfam family "Bacterial RNase P class A". Rfam says of the family: Ribonuclease P (RNase P) is a ubiquitous endoribonuclease, found in archaea, bacteria and eukarya as well as chloroplasts and mitochondria. Lineage: Bacteria; Thermotogati; Deinococcota; Deinococci; Deinococcales; Deinococcaceae. RNAcentral also lists the same sequence under 1 other name. The record is from RNAcentral.